GAUUGAAGAACGUAGCGAAAUGCGAUAAGUAAUGUGAAUUGCAGAAUUCAGUGAAUCAUCGAAUCUUUGAACGCACAUUGCGCCCCCUGGUAUUCCGGGGGGCAUGCCUGUCCGAGCGUCAUUACAACCCUCAAGCUCAGCUUGGUGUUGGGCCCCGCCGCCCCGGCGGGCCCUAAAGUCAGUGGCGGUGCCGUCCGGCUCCGAGCGUAGUAAUUCUUCUCGCUCUGGAGGUCCGGUCGUGUGCUCGCCAGCAACCCCCAAUUUUUUUCAGGUUGACCUCGGAUCAGGUAGGGAUACCCGCUGAACUUAAGCAUAUCAAUAAGCGGAGGA
RNAcentral lists this unclassified non-coding RNA (330 nucleotides) under soil metagenome. Its description in RNAcentral is "partial contains 5.8S ribosomal RNA, internal transcribed spacer 2, and large subunit ribosomal RNA". The stretch from base 4 to 121 matches the Rfam family "5.8S ribosomal RNA", at positions 37 to 154 of the family's 154-position model. The record is from RNAcentral.